Molecule: ribosomal RNA, 497 nt
Filed under: uncultured bacterium
Lineage: Bacteria
Description: partial 16S ribosomal RNA
Rfam family: Bacterial small subunit ribosomal RNA
Source: RNAcentral
GAUGAACGCUGGCGGCGUGCCUAAUACAUGCAAGUCGAGCGAACAGACGAGGAGCUUGCUCCUCUGACGUUAGCGGCGGACGGGUGAGUAACACGUGGAUAACCUACCUAUAAGACUGGGAUAACUUCGGGAAACCGGAGCUAAUACCGGAUAAUCUAUUGAACCGCAUGGUUCAAUAGUGAAAGACGGUUUUGCUGUCACUUAUAGAUGGAUCCGCGCCGCAUUAGCUAGUUGGUAAGGUAACGGCUUACCAAGGCAACGAUGCGUAGCCGACCUGAGAGGGUGAUCGGCGACACUGGAGCUGAGACACGGUCCAGACUCCUACGGGAGGCAGCAGUAGGGAAUCUUCCGCAAUGGGCGAAAGCCUGACGGAGCAACGCCGCGUGAGUGAUGAAGGUCUUCGGAUCGUAAAACUCUGUUAUUAGGGAAGAACAAAUGUGUAAGUAACUAUGCACGUCUUGACGGUACCUAAUCAGAAAGCCACGGCUAACUACGUG